ACACCGCGGCGCUAGAGAAGACCAGGAAAAAGGACCUGAGCCAGCUUGCCGUCUUAACAAAAAUUUCAAACUUUGCAAAGCGGUAUACCUUCUUAUUCUCCAGUUCAGUAUUGCCAGUGAAGUCAUACUGAACGCAGACAAGGAAAAGAAAGAAAAAGAAACUCAAUGAGAUAUGUUGUCAUCUUCCCUGUUUUAUGGAUGAAGUUCUAAGUAGAGGUUCGGAGAAGAUGUUCAGCCUCAGAACGUAGCCACCUUGCUGUGAGAAAGCCCAACCAUCUUGUACAGCGAGACCACAUGGAGAGGCGCAUGUGGAAAGGAACGGAGGCUACAAGCCGAUAGCCAGCAUCGACUGCCAGGCACGGAGAGUGAGUCUUCAGAUGAAUCCAGCCUCAGCCUAGAGUCUUUUGUCUCAGGCCCCAGACACUGUGGAGCAGGGACAAGCCAUCCCCACUGUGUCCCACCCGCAUUCCUGAUCCACAGAAUCUAUGAGCACAAUAAAUAGUUGCUUUAUGGCAGAG
Molecule: long non-coding RNA, 518 nt
Filed under: Homo sapiens (human)
Lineage: Eukaryota; Metazoa; Chordata; Mammalia; Primates; Hominidae
Description: HSALNT0351615
Source: RNAcentral